AGUGGGAUAGCUGGGUCAAAUGGUGGUUUCAUUCCAAGUUUUCUGAGGAAUCUCUACACUGCUUUCCAAAGUGGUUGCACCAAUUUGCCGUCUCACCAGUAAU
Molecule: microRNA precursor, 103 nt
Filed under: Marmota monax (woodchuck)
Lineage: Eukaryota; Metazoa; Chordata; Mammalia; Rodentia; Sciuridae
Source: RNAcentral